This 253-nucleotide ribosomal RNA is filed under the name uncultured bacterium. Its description in RNAcentral is "partial 16S ribosomal RNA". It matches the Rfam family "Bacterial small subunit ribosomal RNA", at positions 524 to 776 of the family's 1533-position model. The record is from RNAcentral.
UACGGGGGGGGCAAGCGUUGUUCGGAAUUACUGGGCGUAAAGGGCUCGUAGGUGGCCAACUAAGUCAGACGUGAAAUCCCUCGGCUUAACCGGGGAACUGCGUCUGAUACUGGAUGGCUUGAGUUUGGGAGAGGGAUGCGGAAUUCCAGGUGUAGCGGUGAAAUGCGUAGAUAUCCGGAGGAACACCGGUGGCGAAGGCGGCUUCCUGGACCGACACUGACGCUGAGGUGCGAAAGCGUGGGGAGCAAACAGG